This is a long non-coding RNA of Notothenia coriiceps (black rockcod), 649 nucleotides long. RefSeq lists it as uncharacterized. NCBI's taxonomy places the organism in Eukaryota, Metazoa, Chordata, Actinopteri, Perciformes, Nototheniidae. The record is from RefSeq and is a predicted model, not a curated record. The transcript is spliced from 2 exons.
UUAAGGAUUUUUACUUCAUAAAAUACAAUAUUUAAAUCAUGUAUUUAAGAGACAAAACUUGGAUAAUUAUGAGAUUACAAAAUCAUAAAUCCCAGAAUUCCUUUGAGAUUAAAGUAUCAAAUUCACAAGAAAAAACUAAUUUUGUAAGAUGUGGUUCCUUGACAAAUAAACCCACUAUUUUCCAAUUUGAGUCUCAGACAAUGUUCAAAUUCUGCGAGUCUUUCCGGGAGUAUUACCCAGCUCCUUCUUUGUUAGUUGUUUGUAAUUAACUUUAGUAGUGUGCUCUGACAACAUAUAUGUUUGCGAGUUUUAACAGCUAUUUCUUCUUCUUACAGACGGGGAAACUUAUACUCAAGCCACGACCGAACAUCCAGUAACCGUGAGCUGGAGUGUGGCGUCUGAUGUCUCUGUUUCUAUCCGCUGAUCACUCCGUGUCUUUAGUCCUUUGGCAGCACUGAGGCGCUUCAUCAUGCGUUUGGAGGAAAGAAGAAAUGACCUGAUUUUGCCUUUUAAACACUGUCGCUGUGCUGACUGCAGAUGAACGCUCAGAUGUGUUAAUUUCUGUUUCUAAUGUUGAGCAUGUAUUUUAAUUAAUUGUUUCUAUUUUUAAAGUUAUUUACCAAAUAAAUAUUUCAGGUGUGAAACUGCC